Molecule: ribosomal RNA, 503 nt
Filed under: uncultured bacterium
Lineage: Bacteria
Description: bacterial SSU rRNA
Rfam family: Bacterial small subunit ribosomal RNA
Source: RNAcentral
GGUUCAGGAUGAACGCUAGCGACAGGCUUAACACAUGCAAGUCGAGGGGCAGCAUAAAAGUAGCAAUACUUGGUGGCGACCGGCGCACGGGUGAGUAACGCGUAUGCAACCUACCUAUCAGAGGGGAAUAACCGGCGAAAGUCGGACUAAUACCGCAUAAAACAGGGGCACCGCAUGGUGAUAUUUGUUAAAGAAAUUCGCUGAUAGAUGGGCAUGCGUUCCAUUAGGUAGUUGGUGAGGUAACGGCUCACCAAGCCGACGAUGGAUAGGGGAACUGAGAGGUUGGUCCCCCACACUGGUACUGAGACACGGACCAGACUCCUACGGGAGGCAGCAGUGAGGAAUAUUGGUCAAUGGGCGAGAGCCUGAACCAGCCAAGUCGCGUGAAGGAAGAAGGAUCUAUGGUUCGUAAACUUCUUUUGCAGGGGAAUAAAGUGCAGGACGUGUCCUGUUUUGUAUGUACCCUGAGAAUAAGGAUCGGCUAACUCCGUGCCAGCCGCCGC